GAUGAAGAACGUAGCGAAAUGCGAUAAGUAAUGUGAAUUGCAGAAUUCAGUGAAUCAUCGAAUCUUUGAACGCACAUUGCGCCCGGCAGUACUCUGCCGGGCAUGCCUGUUCGAGCGUCAUUUCAACCCUCAAGCCCUGCUUGGUGUUGGGGCCCCACGGCUGCCGUGGGCCCUGAAAGGAAGUGGCGGGCUCGCUACAACUCCGAGCGUAGUAAUUCUUUAUCUCGCUUAGGGCGUUGGGCGGCGCUCCAGCCGUUAAAGAACCAUCUUUAACUCAAGGUUGACCUCGGAUCAGGUAGGAAUACCCGCUGAACUUAAGCAUAUCAAUAAGCGGAGGA
Molecule: unclassified non-coding RNA, 338 nt
Filed under: soil metagenome
Description: partial contains 5.8S ribosomal RNA, internal transcribed spacer 2, and large subunit ribosomal RNA
Rfam family: 5.8S ribosomal RNA (bases 1-120)
Source: RNAcentral